Molecule: long non-coding RNA, 1143 nt
Filed under: Astyanax mexicanus (Mexican tetra)
Lineage: Eukaryota; Metazoa; Chordata; Actinopteri; Characiformes; Acestrorhamphidae
Description: lncRNA (ENSAMXG00005017155.1)
Source: RNAcentral
CACAGUCCAAACUGCUUGAGGUCUAGUGUGAAGUUUCUACAAUCUGUGAUGGUUUGGAGAGACAUGUCAUCUGCUGGUGUUGAUCCACUGUGUUUUAUUAUGAAGUUCAAAGUCAGUGGAGUGUUUUCCUGGAAAAUUUUACAGCACUUCAUGCUUCCCUCUACUGACAACUUUUAUAGAGAUGUGGAUUUCAUUUUCCAGCAGAAAUCGGCUCACUGCCCACACUGCCAAAAGUACCAAUUGGUCUUAUAUAAUAUUCUAAUUUUCUAAGACACUGAUUUUCAGGUUCUCUUUGGCUGUAAUCCAUAAUUAAAGUACAUAAAGAAUAAUAAAAGAAAUAAACACUUAAAAUAGAUCACUCUGUGUGCAAUACAUCUAUAUAAUAUAAGUUUAACAUUUUAAACUGAAAUAAAAUAACUUCAUUGAUACUCAUUUUUUUUGAGAUGCACUAGUAUAUUUUAUAUAUUGAAAAGAACCCUACACUGUAAAACGUAUGUAUGUGCAAGCAAUUAAACUGGGCUAACUUUAAAUAAUAAAUCUGUUCAAUUAUUUUUAUUGGAUUUAAUGUAUUUAUUUAGGUUAAAAAAAUAUUAAUUAACUAAGUCAUUUUUGGUUGAACAGAAACUGUGCAUGUUUGUUCAGUAUCUGCAUGUUUAUCAUGAUGAGUCUAUUGUGUCACAUAUAUUUUUGAUGACAUAAUAAUCCAACUCUGAUCUUGCAGUACUGUUCAUGUAGAGCUUAGAAUUGCAAUAGCAAGGUUGGUAUGUUUGUGAUAUACUGUGAUUUAUUCAUCCAUUUUUUUUGUUAUGGUCUUAAGAUUGAGACUCCUGAGUCAGAAGUGGUACAGACUCCAAAACCAUCUCAGAAGAAAAAUGCACGGAAGCGAGCGAAAGCAAAGGCCAUGCCAGCACAUGUCAGCUUUGACCUGCUGGCUGCACAGCAGAAUGAUGAUGAAGCUUAUGAUUUCAACACAGACUUUGUAUAAAUGUUUGUGUCUACACAACAGAGAGCAGAGUGUUUGUGUGUGUAUGUGUGAAGGUCUGAUGAGGCUGAUUUGUCGGAUGUUCUGUAUUUCUGUCUGUCUGACAGGACCUGUUGUAAAUAUGAGACAGAUAAUUAAACUUUUGAUCUUCUGAGAUUUCU